GCAGAGUAGGUUUCGACGGGUCAAGUGUCUGACGGACGGAGAGUUGCCGGCAGAACGAAGGAUCUUAUAUGCAGAGCGGCUUAAAGCCCUGCACGUAACGAUUCGCCGUGUCGAAUCCGCAUCCCGCUGC
This 130-nucleotide non-coding RNA is filed under the name bovine gut metagenome. RNAcentral describes it as "THF riboswitch". It matches the Rfam family "THF (Tetrahydrofolate) riboswitch aptamer". From Rfam's summary of the family: THF riboswitch presents a pseudoknot that joins P1-P2 and the loop of P3 and two THF binding. The record is from RNAcentral.